AUUAUUUAACUCCAAAGUCAAACCCUCUUAAUUUCUGGAAUCAAGAUUUCUUUACAUGAAAUAGUGUGAAAAAUCCAAUUCAAGUGCAGUUGAAAUUGCUCAGAGGGUGCUUAUCAGCAAAGGUGGAGAAAGAACUUUUUUCAGGAUUGUAAAGAGGGCCAAGCAGCAUGCUGUUCCUUAUUUGUCUUUUUUUCUUUUUCUUUCUGCUUAGGAACCAGACCAAUGCCCCUCCUCCUAUUUUGAGAAGCCAGUGGUCCCACAAGCUGUUCUUUCUGUAGCCAUGAUGAUGCCCUGUUGCUGUGUCUCCUUCUCUCUAAUAGCUGGUGACCAGACACCACACCCCAAGAAAUCCUACUGUUCUUUAGAUAUGCACUUCCUCCUCCUAGAGAAAAGUAAAAUCAUAGAUCAUAUUAAGAUGUGCUAUGCUUUCUGAGAUGGGCUGAGUUGAGGAGGCAACAGAAUCCUUACAAGUGACAUUUUUUAAGUGAAUUUUUAAAGUGUGGGAUCACUGCAAGCUCACUCUAUCUCAACAGGGUACUGUGUUGCCUGAAAAGAGCCUUCUGCAGCCAGGGAUCAGAUAUUUGCCCUUUAUCACUUUGUUGUUGUUGUUGUUGUUGUUGUCUAUGAAGGUAACAAACCAAGGAAACUCAUUUAUUUUGUUGGCAGCUACCAUCUGUUGAGUCUGUUGAGGAGGCUCACUCAAUAUCACAUUUCAGAGGAAAAACAGGAAUUUCAUAUAAUUAAGUCAGUGGAGCUCAGUUCAUACUCAUACACAUUCCUCUACACUGAAUACACAGCAAAGAACAUGUUGUCUAGAGGGUACUUUCUGCAGGUCUUUAUUAAGAUAUUCUUUGUGGGAAAACCUGGUAAUAUAGCACUAAAAUCACUGUGGUCUUGCUCCUCCUAUUGUCUAGAUUAUGCCAUUUUGAAAGUGCUGCAGACAAAGAAAAGGUUUUUUGCUUUCCCCACUUACCAUAUUGAAACUAUAUUUGCAUGAGAUCAAACCUCCUAUGUUUCUGAGUCAGAGGUCUCUGCAAUCUCUCAGAAUUUCCUGCCUGCUAUACAAGAGGUCAUGACUGAGAAGUUAGGGGCAUGUGAGCACAGAAAUAUAAGACCAUAGCAAACCCCCAAACCCUCACCUAAAUGUUGUCUUAACAAAAAUAGUAAUUUUUUAAUAGCACUACAAAUACAGAGCAUUUGGGAAAAUCGUUAACAACUAUCUACAACAGUGAACUACAGUUGUUUUUACUGUGUGAGGUACUUAGCACCUGGAUUUGCUUGUGCAUGAGAGGCCGCACUGCAGUGCUACAAUUGAGCACACGUUUGCCCUAUGUAACUCUGUCAUGUAACGAUGUUUUGUUUGUGAGCAAAGAAAGUUUUGACAGCAGUAUCUGCAGGGAAGUUUGACUCAGCCAGAAGUAUGUAAGUAUCUGUAGGGCUCUGCAGCAUAGCUGUGACAUCAGGGUUUGAGUUGCUACUAGUCAGCUAAGAUAGUUUGGAGCCAGAGCUUCUGCACACUGUAAUGCAGAGUAUUCUCUUAAAUCCUCUUUAGUCUCUUCUGCAGUUGUUUCCUCAUUUGCUCUGACAGAACUGUGUGCACAGAGUCAGUCACUGCUGGGAACAGUGCAUGUCCCAGGAUGUGUUGUUUUCUGAGCUGUGAGGAGUCCAGUGUGAACCUGCAUCAAACCCACACUAAGGGCUUUCUCCCCAUAAGGAUUAUAUUAUUGCAGUUGUCUUAUAUAUAUUAUAUUAGUUUAGCAAAAAGGAAUUAAUAUGUGAUAGUUCUAAAUUUUUCCAGCUCAGCUUUUCUUGGUGUGUGAACAGUCUUGUUUUUCUAAACAAUCUCCACUUCGUUGAAGCACUGAAGUCACAAUUGGCUGCUUUUGUCUUUUCAUCCACCAGGUGCAGAACCAGAAAUCUGGGAGCAUGUGCUUGAUUUGUCAAGUCGCCCAGUAUGGAUUGCAAGAAUAAAGGAAUGCCACCGCUAACAUCACAAUGGAGUUGGAGAGUUUUCUUCCCAGAUUUUUCUGAUGACAGCACAAAUAAAGGGAAGAUGUUCUGCAUCACAGUGAGUCAAGCAAUUGGGAUUAAAUAUCAAGAACUCUGAGAGAGGAACUCACAACAACUCAAACUUGAGGGGCUGCACCGCUGCAGAUGAGGGCUUCUUUACAGACUGAUGAUUCCAGAUUUUCAGGUGAAUAUUUUAAAUAAAAGCCACACUGGGAAAAACAUACAGUUCCAUGCAGGAUCACCAGCUGUCUCUGAGAAAGCUUUGCUUUAAAGGAUCAGUCUUUCACUUGCAAGUCUUCUGCUUGAACUGCGUUUCAGCAAGCAUUGGUGAGCCGAAAUUGGACCAUUCUCUUCCACAGCACCACCAUAUUCCAGAUUAAUUGAAUCUGUGUCCAAUGAGGAACUGAAGAGAUAUUUAGAGAUCUUGAUGGCUAUGGAAGAACCUAAGCUGACAGAAGGCACACAGACCCAAACAAGGCUCAGACUGCUGGAGAACCUCCUGCCAGCCAGGGUGAAUGAAUGACAGUGUGGAGAGCAAGCUGAGACGUCGUCCUCUGUGUCUUCAUAAUGGUAGGAACAAUUCGUGGAUCCAUGUUGGCCAAUUCGUCUACUGAGGAAGCAGUCAGCUUAGUUUUGUACCAUGGGAUAUCACUGUAAUAUCUUGUUUGACCUCUUGCUGUUCAAAAAGUGCACCCACGUGUUUGUACAUCAUUUACAAAAGCCGGUGUUGUCUGGUGCUGCCAUAAUAUGUUGGGGUCCUAAGAGGAAAGAGCUAAAUCUGCAAACAUUUCUCAUUGUUUACUGGAAAUUAAAUAGGCAGUCCCACAAACUACUGCCCUGCCACAGAAUUACUUUCUUGGGAAAGUCAAGAGAAUUAAUACAUCAUGACAUGAGCAUACCUCAUCUCAUUUGAUUCUCUAUUUCUGGGGCAAAAAAAAAAUGAGAACCAGUGGGGAAAGAAGAAUACUAAAAGGCUCCUUCUGCUUGCUGAGAGAAGAUGGUCGGAAGAAUCAGCUGGUUUUCACUGAAGCUAUGUGCUAAAUAGUGUGUUUCCUAUCUGCAGGUUCAAUUCAGCACUGAAAGCUUAAUUAGCAUUGCUCAGCAACAGGGAAGCAUUCAGAUUCACAAGAAUAGUUUUGGUUGAGGCUUCUAAGCACACUCUUUACAAUGGUCUCCAUGGCAUUUUUAAGCUGCUUGCAACUGUUCACUGUUAGGCAUUCUGAUUCAAAGUGAAAUUCUUCAACAACAGUGCCAUCAACAGAAGUGAUGUGCUUCUGAGCAAAACGAGUGUACAACAAACCUAAAUGCAUGGAACUUGGCUCAGAUGUUACCUAUAGCAAAAACAGCAUUUCCCCAGAGUGAGAAGAGGGAUACUCAGAAGCCAAACAGAUUGUUCAACAGUUAAUAGGAAGAUACUGAAAUAUGUGAAAUUGAUAACUUAGGAGUUGUUUUGUUGGAGGAGGGAUUCAGAAGCCAAAGCAAAGGAACUGCAAGGUGCCAGCUGAAGUUUCCUAUUGAUGGAUAUGUGCUGAACAGCCACCACAAACCCUUCCCAUAAUCUUAUCAGCUACAAGGACUCAGAGGAAUGCUACAAAAGUUGCUGGGUCAGGGAAAUGCAGUUCUGUAGGAGACAGAAAGAACACAUCCUGAGUUACACCAGGAGAGUUGAGGCAGGCUUCCCAAAAUGUCAUGCCACCAAAUGUGCUUUGCUCUGUACUGGAAUGUUGAAAAACCCACAACCAAACAGUCCAAAAAGAUAAUGUUUGGUUAUUACAGAGAAGUGCCAGGAGCCAGAAAUAAUACAACAAGCAUAUGAGAAAUUAAACUCUUAAAUAGCGUCAAACUGUAUCCUCUGUGAGGGCUCUCUCUGCAGUUUUGUCUGAAUCUUUGUACUUCCAAAACAUGACAAAUACUAAACUUAUUCUUGAAGAGCAAAAUUGAGUAUCUGAGAGAAAAUACAAAAAUACUUUGAAUCACCAGUUUCAUUAACAGCAUUGACCUAACAUCGUUGUAUUAUGGCAUUAGGAAAAACUAUUCAUACUUAAAUAGUGACUAAAAGUGUGUUUGCAGAGGAAAAUAAAUGCAAAAUUUACAGUACUGAUUUCUUUUAUGCUUU
This is a long non-coding RNA of Lagopus muta (rock ptarmigan), 4126 nucleotides long. RefSeq lists it as uncharacterized. The record is from RefSeq and is a predicted model, not a curated record. NCBI's taxonomy places the organism in Eukaryota, Metazoa, Chordata, Aves, Galliformes, Phasianidae. The transcript has 4 exons.